UGAACGCUGGCGGCGUGCCUAAUACAUGCAAGUCGAGCGAACGGACGAGAAGCUUGCUUCUCUGCUGUUAGCGGCGGACGGGUGAGUAACACGUGGAUAACCUACCUAUAAGACUGGGAUAACUUCGGGAAACCGGAGCUAAUACCGGAUGAUAUUUUGAACCGCAUGGUUCAAAAGUGAAAGACGGUCUUGCUGUCACUUAUAGAUGGAUCCGCGCUGCAUUAGCUAGUUGGUAAGGUAACGGCUUACCAAGGCAACGAUGCAUAGCCGACCUGAGAGGGUGAUCGGCCACACUGGAACUGAGACACGGUCCAGACUCCUACGGGAGGCAGCAGUAGGGAAUCUUCCGCAAUGGGCGAAAGCCUGACGGAGUAACGCCGCGUGAGUGAUGAAGGUCUUCGGAUCGUAAAACUCUGUUAUUAGGGAAGAACAUAUGUGUAAGUAACUGUGCACAUCUUGACGGUACCUAAUCAGAAAGCCACGGCUAACUACGUG
Molecule: ribosomal RNA, 495 nt
Filed under: uncultured bacterium
Lineage: Bacteria
Description: partial 16S ribosomal RNA
Rfam family: Bacterial small subunit ribosomal RNA
Source: RNAcentral